RNAcentral lists this ribosomal RNA (488 nucleotides) under Tardiomyces blankii. Its description in RNAcentral is "[Candida] blankii partial 26S ribosomal RNA". It matches the Rfam family "Eukaryotic large subunit ribosomal RNA", at positions 98 to 596 of the family's 3401-position model. Lineage: Eukaryota; Fungi; Ascomycota; Dipodascomycetes; Dipodascales; Trichomonascaceae. The record is from RNAcentral.
GCAGCCAAAGCUCAAAUUUGAAAGCUCCUAACAAGGCGCAUUGUAAUUUGAAGAUGGUAUUCCGAGUUAGUCCUUUACCUCAGUUCCUUGGAACAGGACGCCAUAGAGGGUGAGAGCCCCGUGUGGUAUUGGUAGCUUUCUCAUGUGGUUUACCUUCGAAGAGUCGAGUUGUUUGGGAAUGCAGCUCUAAGUGGGUGGUAAAUUCCAUCUAAAGCUAAAUAUUGGCGAGAGACCGAUAGCGAACAAGUACUGUGAAGGAAAGAUGAAAAGAACUUUGAAAAGAGAGUGAAAAAGUACGUGAAAUUGUUGAAAGGGAAGGGAAUUGGACUAGACUUGGAUUUCUGUUAUCAGCAGUCUUUCGGGGCUGUGCACUAGCAGUUUUCUAGGCCAGGAUCUGUUUGGAGGCCAGGAUAAAACCCAAAGAAUGUGGCUCUUCGGAGUGUUAUAGCUUUGGUUGAAUACUGGCAUUCUGGACAGAGGACCGCGCU